UUCAUACUAUUACUUUUUAAUCUGCCAAGAAGCACUGUGAGUACAGUCUUUUGUAGCUCAUUAGCAAUUUCUUUAAUGAGUUUUUUUGGUGUGAUAGAUAGUUAAAGUAACAGACAAAUGACAGAUUGUUUGCCUUUAAUGAUUUCCCUGUUUCAAGCCCAUUACAAAGCAAUUAGAAAUCUGACAGCAUUUUCACUCUGCAUUACUGAUCAUCUAAAGUGAUGAGGAAUGAGAGGUGAUGAAUAUUAAUUGUAUAUUUUCAUAUGAUUAUCAUAAAUUAUUACCUUGUCUGAUGUGCUGCAGGUGAAGCGGGAACAUUAGAGAAAGUCAGUCAGAUAUAUUAAUUUGAAAGACUGGAUAUUUUUUAAUCUUUAUCUGCAAUGUGGAUCCUGGUCUGUAGUGCUACUCUUUAUGACUGUUUCCCUGUGAAUAUUAAAUUAAGGGGUUUUACUUUCUCUGUAUGUUUGGAGAAACUUAAAUACAUUUUUUAUUUGGAUACAAGAAAAGGAAAGACAUAUUCCAUAGUGCAGUGCAUAUACAUAUAUUAAAGCUAAAAUUAAAUUUAGAAAGGGAGACAUGAGUGACUUCUCUUGCUGUAUGUAUCAUACACAUAUGUGUAUGGUAUUUACACAUAUCAGCACAGAGGAAGAGACAGCUGGAAAUUCAUCCUGUCUUCUUCUUAAAGUUAGAUGAUCCUGCAUAAGAAAAGGCAAGAGACCAAAAUACUGAGGAGCCGUAUUAGUUUUUUCUUCACCUUCUAGAUGGAGUUUGGCAUUGCCCCACAGUCCCUCACUUUAACAGGUGUCCAUUGAAAUUAGAGAGAAUUGUGUCCUCUGGAACUGGAGUUGCAUAUAUGAGCACCUGAUGUGGGUGCUGGGAAUCCAUCUGGGACCUGUGCAAGAACAGGAAGUACUCUUAAUUACUGAGCCAUUUCUUCAGCCCCCCCCCACCAUGUACUUAUUUUAAAUAUCAUUUUACCACCUUAUAAAGCAAUAAAGAUCCUUUAUUUCCAUA
This is a long non-coding RNA of Peromyscus eremicus (cactus mouse), 1014 nucleotides long. RefSeq lists it as uncharacterized. The record is from RefSeq and is a predicted model, not a curated record. NCBI's taxonomy places the organism in Eukaryota, Metazoa, Chordata, Mammalia, Rodentia, Cricetidae. The transcript is spliced from 2 exons.